AUGGAGGGCAACUUCAGCGCUGACCAGAGAGCCAAGGUGGUGGCCGUGCUCUACAUGGUGCCCGGCGACCUUAACGGCCAGUUCCACGCCAAGAAGAUGGGCUACCACGAGAUGGUCCUGCUCCGCCCCCAGGGCGCCGCUGAGGUGGUCGUGCUGGCUGCCGAAUUCGAUAAUACUCAUAUUUCAUCCCCUGCGUCAGCUCAUUGGCGGAGUUCUUCUCUACAGAGACAAUACAAAAUCGAGUCCAGUACAUCUCAGAUUGUUGUCUGGUUUAUUUUGGAUAAAUUGACAUCAUCCUGGUAUUUAUAUUCAAAGAAGGAUAAAUUAACCUUAUCCAGGUACACAUGA
This 348-nucleotide ribosomal RNA is filed under the name Triticum aestivum (bread wheat). RNAcentral describes it as "partial small subunit ribosomal RNA". The record is from RNAcentral. Lineage: Eukaryota; Viridiplantae; Streptophyta; Magnoliopsida; Poales; Poaceae.